This 253-nucleotide ribosomal RNA is filed under the name uncultured bacterium. RNAcentral describes it as "partial 16S ribosomal RNA". It matches the Rfam family "Bacterial small subunit ribosomal RNA", at positions 524 to 776 of the family's 1533-position model. The record is from RNAcentral.
UACGUAGGGUGCGAGCGUUGUCCGGAAUUAUUGGGCGUAAAGAGCUUGUAGGCGGUCUGUCGCGUCUGCUGUGAAAAUCCGGGGCUCAACCCCGGACUUGCAGUGGGUACGGGCAGACUAGAGUGUGGUAGGGGAGACUGGAAUUCCUGGUGUAGCGGUGAAAUGCGCAGAUAUCAGGAGGAACACCAACAGCGAAGGCAGCACUCUGGGCCGGUACUGACGCUGAGGAGCGAAAGCAUGGGGAGCGAACAGG